Castor canadensis (American beaver) is the source of this 86-nucleotide small nucleolar RNA. Its record names the gene SNORD14. It matches the Rfam family "Small nucleolar RNA SNORD14". Rfam says of the family: U14 small nucleolar RNA (U14 snoRNA) is required for early cleavages of eukaryotic precursor rRNAs. In yeasts, this molecule possess a stem-loop region (known as the Y-domain) which is essential for function. NCBI's taxonomy places the organism in Eukaryota, Metazoa, Chordata, Mammalia, Rodentia, Castoridae. The record is from Ensembl.
UCGCUGUGAUGAUGGAUUCCAUAACCAUUCGUAGUUUCCACCAGAAUUUCUGUGUUGGCCACUUCCUUCCUUGGAUGUCUGAGCGA